AUUGAACGCUGGCGGCAUGCCUUACACAUGCAAGUCGAACGGUAACAGGUCUUCGGACGCUGACGAGUGGCGAACGGGUGAGUAAUACAUCGGAACGUGCCCAGUCGUGGGGGAUAACUACUCGAAAGAGUAGCUAAUACCGCAUACGAUCUGUGGAUGAAAGCGGGGGACCUUCGGGCCUCGCGCGAUUGGAGCGGCCGAUGGCAGAUUAGGUAGUUGGUGGGAUAAAAGCUUACCAAGCCGACGACCUGUAGCUGGUCUGAGAGGACGACCAGCCAAACUGGGACUGAGACACGGCCCAGACUCCUACGGGAGGCAGCAGUGGGGAAUUUUGGACAAUGGGCGAAAGCCUGAUCCAGCAAUGCCGCGUGCAGGAUGAAGGCCUUCGGGUUGUAAACUGCUUUUGUACGGAACGAAAAAGUCUCCUCUAAUACAGGAGGCCCAUGACGGUACCGUAAGAAUAAGCACCGGCUAACUACGUGCCAGCCGCCGCCGUAA
This 498-nucleotide ribosomal RNA is filed under the name uncultured bacterium. RNAcentral describes it as "partial 16S ribosomal RNA". It matches the Rfam family "Bacterial small subunit ribosomal RNA", at positions 30 to 523 of the family's 1533-position model. The record is from RNAcentral.